GGGGAUUUAGCUCAGUGGUAGAGCGCUUGCCUAGCAAGCACAAGACCUGGGUUCGGUCCCCAGCUCCG
Molecule: non-coding RNA, 68 nt
Organism: Rattus norvegicus (Norway rat)
Lineage: Eukaryota; Metazoa; Chordata; Mammalia; Rodentia; Muridae
Source: Rfam